RNAcentral lists this ribosomal RNA (336 nucleotides) under Triticum aestivum (bread wheat). RNAcentral describes it as "partial small subunit ribosomal RNA". Lineage: Eukaryota; Viridiplantae; Streptophyta; Magnoliopsida; Poales; Poaceae. The record is from RNAcentral.
UUCGUCCCUGCUUAUUAUACUCGUGACAUGAUUAAGAAGUUGCAACACUUAAAACAUGGUAGUGAAACUGUAACAAAAUAUUAUGAUGAUUUACAAACUACCUUGUUGCAUUCCUCUUUAGAAGAAAGUGAAGAUGAUUUUAUGGAUAGAUUUUGGGGAGGAUUAAACGGUGAUAUUCAAGAGAUACUAAUUCAUGAAGAGUGUUAUCCUAUGGACCAUUUGUUUCAUCUUGCUUGCAAAGCUGAACAGGAAAUAAAACGACGUGUUGGCCACGAGGAGAACAAGCGCACGGUGCACAUUCCAAGAGUUGAUAUGAUUGUUCCUUCAACUACUAGG